Molecule: ribosomal RNA, 253 nt
Filed under: uncultured bacterium
Lineage: Bacteria
Description: partial 16S ribosomal RNA
Rfam family: Bacterial small subunit ribosomal RNA
Source: RNAcentral
UACAGAGGGGGCAAGCGUUGUUCGGAAUUAUUGGGCGUAAAGCGCGUGUAGGCGGUCCGGUAAGUCCGCUGUGAAAGUCGGGGGCUCAACCCUCGAAUGCCGGUGGAUACUGUCGGGCUAGAGUGCGGAAGAGGCGAGUGGAAUUCCUGGUGUAGCGGUGAAAUGCGCAGAUAUCAGGAGGAACACCAAUUGCGAAGGCAGCUCGCUGGGACGUAACUGACGCUGAGACGCGAAAGCGUGGGGAGCAAACAGG